This 465-nucleotide ribosomal RNA is filed under the name Triticum aestivum (bread wheat). RNAcentral's name for it is "partial small subunit ribosomal RNA". Lineage: Eukaryota; Viridiplantae; Streptophyta; Magnoliopsida; Poales; Poaceae. The record is from RNAcentral.
AUGGCUGCCUCCUCUUGCUUCCCAUUAGCUGCCCGCUACAGCCUCUUGCUCACGGCAACACUGGUCCUAGCGCUGAGCCACGGAGCCUACGGUUAUGGCGAUGCCGGUGCCGUGUUGGGCUCAUCCUUGUACGACGACUCAUGCCCCAGUGCGUGCGACAUUGUCCGGCGCGUCAUCCAGAACGCCCGUGUCGCCAACACGCGCAUCCCAGCCAGCCUCAUCCGCCUUCACAUCUACAAUUGCUUUGUUGAGGGCUGUGAUGGCUCGCUUUUGCUCGACAACAACCUCCCACCGAUCAUGAUUAAGGAGGAGGUCCCUGCCAACGACAGGUCAGCGCGCAGGCUCGAUGUGGUCGACGGUAUCAUGCAUGCGCUGGAGAACGCAUGCCAUGGCAUCGUGUCCUGUGCUGACAUCCUCACCCUCGCCUCCAAAAUCACAGUUGAGUCGGCUGGAGGGCCUCGCUAG